UACGAGGGGUGCAAACGUUAUUCGGAAUCAUUGGGCGUAAAGGGUGUGCAGGCGGCUUAUUAAGUCUGUUGUUAAAUUUCCCGGCCUAACCGGGAGCCAGCAGCGGAAACUGAUAAGCUAGAGGGUGGGAGAGAGAAGUGGAAUUCUCGGAGUAGCGGUAAAAUGCGUAGAUCUCGAGAGGAACACCGAUGGCGAAGGCAGCUUCUUGGCCCAUUUCUGACGCUGAGGCACGAAAGCGUGGGGAGCAAACAGG
RNAcentral lists this ribosomal RNA (253 nucleotides) under uncultured bacterium. RNAcentral's name for it is "partial 16S ribosomal RNA". It matches the Rfam family "Bacterial small subunit ribosomal RNA", at positions 524 to 776 of the family's 1533-position model. The record is from RNAcentral.